GAUGAACGCUGGCGGCGUGCCUAAUACAUGCCAGUCGAGCGAACGGACGAGAAGCUUGCUUUUCUGAUGUUAGCGGCGGACGGGUGAGUAACACGUGGAUAACCUACCUAUAAGACUGGGAUAACUUCGGGAAACCGGAGCUAAUACCGGAUAAUAUUUUGAACCGCAUGGUUCAAAAGUGAAAGACGGUCUUGCUGUCACUUAUAGAUGGAUCCGCACUGCAUUAGCUAGUUGGUAAGGUAACGGCUUACCAAGGCAACGAUGCAUAGCCGACCUGAGAGGGUGAUCGGCCACACUGGAACUGAGACACGGUCCAGACUCCUACGGGAGGCAGCAGUAGGGAAUCUUCCGCAAUGGGCGAAAGCCUGACGGAGCAACGCCGCGUGAGUGAUGAAGGUCUUCGGAUCGUAAAACUCUGUUAUUAGGGAAGAACAUAUGUGUAAGUAACUGUGCACAUCUUGACGGUACCUAAUCAGAAAGCCACGGCUAACUACGUG
Molecule: ribosomal RNA, 497 nt
Filed under: uncultured bacterium
Lineage: Bacteria
Description: partial 16S ribosomal RNA
Rfam family: Bacterial small subunit ribosomal RNA
Source: RNAcentral